UGGCGAUCAGUUCCUUCAGCUUUUGUUG
This 28-nucleotide non-coding RNA is filed under the name Mus musculus (house mouse). Lineage: Eukaryota; Metazoa; Chordata; Mammalia; Rodentia; Muridae. The record is from RNAcentral.